Molecule: non-coding RNA, 595 nt
Organism: Sciurus carolinensis (gray squirrel)
Lineage: Eukaryota; Metazoa; Chordata; Mammalia; Rodentia; Sciuridae
Source: the annotation of a RefSeq genome assembly
ACAGCCCUCCUCCUCUGUAGCUGCUCAUUAUGACCCUGCCUUGGUGAGCCUCCCUCUGUCCUUACCUGCCAUGGACACCAAGCUCCUUUUCUAUGUGGGCUUCUGUCUCUUGGGAGCAGACCACACCCAUGCUGGAGUCUCCCAGUCCCCAAGGCACAGGGUCACAAAGAGGGGACAGAAUGUAGUUUUCAGGUGUGAUCCAAUCUCUGGACACAUUAGCCUCUACUGGUACCGACAGACAGUGGGGCAGGGCCCAGAGUUUAUGAUGAAUUUCCAGAAUGAACGUGCAGCAGACACAUCAGGGAUGCCCAGUGAGCGGUUCUCUGCUGAGAGGCCAGAGGGGUCCUUCUCCACUCUGAAGAUCCAGCCCACAGAGCAGGGGGACUCGGCUGUGUACCUCUGUGCCAGCAGCUCAGCCACAAACCAUCUCUCCCCUCCCAGCGGCUCUCUCAGCAGGUGUGGCUUGUCCAACCCAUUCUUGGUGCAGGAUGCCCUUGGUCCUCCUUCACUCUGCCCACCGCUGCCUUCCCCACAGGAUGCUGUUCCUUCCAGGACUGUGGCCUUGAAGGUUAGCCCACGUUUUCUUACAGUAUAA